AGUGAACGCUGGCGGUAGGCCUAACACAUGCAAGUCGAACGGCAGCACAGUAAGAGCUUGCUCUUACGGGUGGCGAGUGGCGGACGGGUGAGGAAUACAUCGGAAUCUACUUUUUCGUGGGGGAUAACGUAGGGAAACUUACGCUAAUACCGCAUACGACCUACGGGUGAAAGCAGGGGAUCUUCGGACCUUGCGCGAUUGAAUGAGCCGAUGUCGGAUUAGCUAGUUGGCGGGGUAAAGGCCCACCAAGGCGACGAUCCGUAGCUGGUCUGAGAGGAUGAUCACCCCCCCGGGAAAUGAGACACGGCCCAGACCCCCACGGGAGGCAGCAGGGGGGAAUAUUGGGCAAUGGGCCCAAGCCGGACCCAGCCAUACCGGGGGGGGGAAGAAGCCCUUCGGGUUGUAAAGCCCUUUUUUUGGGAAAAAAAAGCAGCAGGUUAAUACCCCGCUGUUCUGACGGUACCAAAAGAAUAAGCACCGGCUAACUUCGU
RNAcentral lists this ribosomal RNA (491 nucleotides) under uncultured bacterium. RNAcentral describes it as "partial 16S ribosomal RNA". It matches the Rfam family "Bacterial small subunit ribosomal RNA", at positions 29 to 506 of the family's 1533-position model. The record is from RNAcentral.